Molecule: long non-coding RNA, 452 nt
Filed under: Dasypus novemcinctus (nine-banded armadillo)
Lineage: Eukaryota; Metazoa; Chordata; Mammalia; Cingulata; Dasypodidae
Description: lncRNA (ENSDNOG00000050635.1)
Source: RNAcentral
GGUUUCUGUUAAGGCAAGAAGUUAGAGGGAAUGCUCUGAGAAGAGGUGCAUAUUGUAGAGGAGUUUUCUGAUUUUGGAAUGGCCAUCCCAGAAGACAAAGCAGAAAGAUGAUUGUGGAAGGGAGAAAGAAAUGGAGAGAGCUGAGCCAGGGGAAAUGGUCACCUGUUCCAUGUCCCUCAGUUUCUUGUGGAAUUGCCUUGACAGAGCAAUGCUUUAAUAUUGUGCUGUGGCUUCCAACAGAGGGACAGAUAGCGCAUGGAUACCUGGAGAACGCUCCUACAUGGGUGGAGGUUGUGUUGCUCUUGAGAACAUCAUGCAUUUCAUCAUUCCACGCCCCUCUAUGAAGAACACCCUCUCUGAUAUGAUAAUCUCAGAGUAUAGUAGCACACAAACAACAAAAAAGAUGUUUCCUCUAAUUAAUCCAUAUGGGAAUUAUUUCUAGACCUUGAGUC